This 346-nucleotide ribosomal RNA is filed under the name uncultured bacterium. RNAcentral's name for it is "partial 16S ribosomal RNA". It matches the Rfam family "Bacterial small subunit ribosomal RNA", at positions 338 to 681 of the family's 1533-position model. The record is from RNAcentral.
CCUACGGGUGGCAGCAGUGAGGAAUAGUGGUCAAUGGGCGCGAGCCUGAACCAGCCAAGUAGCGUGAAGGAUGACUGCCCUACGGGUUGUAAACUUCUUUUAUAAAGGAAUAAAGUGAGGCACGUGUGCCUUUUUGUAUGUACGUUAUGAAUAAGGAUCGGCUAACUCCGUGCCAGCAUCCGCGGUAAUACGGAGGAUCCGAGCGUUAUCCGGAUUUAUUGGGGUUACAGGGAGCGUAGAGGGGUUGGUAAGUCAGUUGUGCAAGUUUGCGGCGCAACCGGAAAAUUGCAAUUGAUACUGGCAGCCUUGAGUACAGUUGCGGUAGGCGGCAUUCGUGGUGUCGCGG